UGGGUGAGCUUGACAUGUGGACCUUUUUUACUAAAGCUUUUAAUCAUUUGAGUCCUUUUAAAGCUUUUAAGCAUUUGAGUUUGCAAGAUUUUAAACUCUAUUUAUAUUAACAGGUGGUGGCAUGAGUUCUGACCCUGGGGCAUGAGAGUAUCUUGGUGUCUGGACCUGGCUGAAGGUGGCUGCCUCCUCCUUUUAUCCUUAUGGUAGCUGGUACUCCUGGUGAGGGUUGGAUCAGAGAUCUCCCUUGGUGGUGUUUGUGGCUACCCGCCAGUGCAGUGGGGCUGAGUCGAUCCAGGAGGCAGCCGCCCUCAUGCAGUGUUGGAGUGCGGUCCAACUGUCCGAGUCUAUUUUAACUUUCUCUUUUAUGGGAUUUGUGUCAAGUUUUUAAUAAAUUGUAUAUUCUUAACCUUUAUG
Oryzias latipes (Japanese medaka) is the source of this 414-nucleotide long non-coding RNA. RefSeq lists it as uncharacterized. Lineage: Eukaryota; Metazoa; Chordata; Actinopteri; Beloniformes; Adrianichthyidae. The record is from RefSeq and is a predicted model, not a curated record.